UUGAACUCGGAGGACAUUACACAAAUAUGAAGGCGGGCUGGAACCUCUCGGGGUUACAGCCUUGCUGAAUUAUUCACCCUUGUCUUUUGCGUACUUCUUGUUUCCUUGGUGGGUUCGCCCACCACUAGGACAAACAUAAACCUUUUGUAAUUGCAAUCAGCGUCAGUAACAAAUUAAUAAUUACAACUUUCAACAACGGAUCUCUUGGUUCUGGCAUCGAUGAAGAACGCAGCGAAAUGCGAUAAGUAGUGUGAAUUGCAGAAUUCAGUGAAUCAUCGAAUCUUUGAACGCACAUUGCGCCCUUUGGUAUUCCAAAGGGCAUGCCUGUUCGAGCGUCAUUUGUACCCUCAAGCUUUGCUUGGUGUUGGGCGUCUUGUCUCUAGCUUUGCUGGAGACUCGCCUUAAAGUAAUUGGCAGCCGGCCUACUGGUUUCGGAGCGCAGCACAAGUCGCACUCUCUAUCAGCAAAGGUCUAGCAUCCAUUAAGCCUUUUUUUUCAACUUUUGACCUCGGAUCAGGUAGGGAUACCCGCUGAACUUAAGCAUAUCUAAAAGGGGGAAGAAA
RNAcentral lists this ribosomal RNA (563 nucleotides) under Alternaria tenuissima. RNAcentral describes it as "eukaryotic LSU rRNA". The stretch from base 185 to 338 matches the Rfam family "5.8S ribosomal RNA". Lineage: Eukaryota; Fungi; Ascomycota; Dothideomycetes; Pleosporales; Pleosporaceae. The record is from RNAcentral.